CCAAACUUGGUCAUUUAGAGGAAGUAAAAGUCGUAACAAGGUCUCCGUUGGUGAACCAUCGGAGGGAUCAUUCACGACGUCCGCGCGCUCCCACUCGGGAGCCGUCGCGGUUUGCUUAGCCCCUGUGAACCGUUCUACCUAAAAACGUUGCCUCGGUGGGCGGCCCAUCCCUGUGAAGGAGGGCGGGCUACCGCCGACGGCUCCUAACAAAGGCUCUAGCCACCGUGGCCCUUUUCUGAUUAUAACAUAUUGCAAACGCUAAAAACUUUCAACAACGGAUCUCUUGGCUCCAGCAUCGAUGAAGAACGCAGC
Molecule: unclassified non-coding RNA, 312 nt
Filed under: uncultured fungus
Lineage: Eukaryota; Fungi
Description: partial contains small subunit ribosomal RNA, internal transcribed spacer 1, and 5.8S ribosomal RNA
Rfam family: Eukaryotic small subunit ribosomal RNA (bases 1-73)
Source: RNAcentral